RNAcentral lists this long non-coding RNA (268 nucleotides) under Ananas comosus (pineapple). Its description in RNAcentral is "long non-coding RNA (ACOM_LNC007834)". Lineage: Eukaryota; Viridiplantae; Streptophyta; Magnoliopsida; Poales; Bromeliaceae. The record is from RNAcentral.
GCCAGGUUCGAACGGAACACAUUUUGCAGAUGGAUAUGUUUUUUGAGAGAAAUGUAGCAUACCACUUGUUUCGUUUAUUUUUUAAAAAAAUAAACUUAGCGAGAAAUAUGAAUCAACUAGAAUUUAAAUUUGAAAUCUCGAGUACUAACCACCAAGUCUUUUGUCACUUGCGCCAGAGACGAUCAGUUACAAAUGAAUAUGCUAAUCUUGUUGUCAUCACAAUAUGCGCUCAGGCUAAAUCACCGAAAGAAAUAUACACAAAAUAUUU